This 64-nucleotide transfer RNA is filed under the name Triops sp. EPP1. RNAcentral's name for it is "tRNA-His". Lineage: Eukaryota; Metazoa; Arthropoda; Branchiopoda; Notostraca; Triopsidae. The record is from RNAcentral.
AUUUUCAUAGUUUAUAUAAGAAUUAAGGUUUGUGGUACCUUGGGUGUGAUUUUUCACUGAAGAU